This 1008-nucleotide long non-coding RNA is filed under the name Astyanax mexicanus (Mexican tetra). RNAcentral's name for it is "lncRNA (ENSAMXG00005003887.1)". The record is from RNAcentral. Lineage: Eukaryota; Metazoa; Chordata; Actinopteri; Characiformes; Acestrorhamphidae.
UAUAGGAGAGAACAAUAGAUAGACAUGCCUUUACCAUCCUUUUACAACCCAGUUAUUCUGUCUUGAUGAAUAAAACACACUGAUUUCCAUGGUUUGCAGCACUACGAUAUGCUCAAAAACAUCACAAGUUGGCUCAGAGUGGUCCAGCAGUCUAAAGCGCUGCCACUAUGAUCGGAAGAUCGCUGGUUUGAAUCCCAGUCAUGCAGCCUGCCAUCAGCUGCCGGAGCCCUACCUCUGUCGGUGAGCUGAUGUAUCGAAAACGAGUCGCUGCACUUUCCUCCAAGUGCCCUGCGCUUUUCUCCGAGUGCGCUGUGAUACUACUCGGCAAUGCUGCAUCAACAGCAGAAAGAAAAGAGGCGGAGUCUGACUUCACAUGUGUCAGAGGAAGAGACAUGAAGGAAAAUGAAAAGAACCACAGCAGGGACGGUCAAAUUUGGGUUGGAUGUUUUUUCCCCCUUCAGACACAUUCUCCGCAGAUGAAGCACCAUUUGCGGGCUUUCAGAAACACCAUGCAGCAGAGUGAUUGCGAGAAGGGGAGGGAUAUAAUCAGCUCCAGCUCCUCCGAGCCGAGGCCGAGACGUGUUAAGAUGGCUUAUGGAAACACUGCCAAGGGUCUAAUAAUAGCCCAGCACACGGCUGUGUUUAGAACUGGCACUGUGUCUAAACUUAGAGCUCACCGGCCCUUUCUUGUCCAACCCCUCACUCAGUCUGAUCACAUGCUGGAGAGCAGAGGACUGAAGCUGAGUCAUCAAUGCUCGAUCUUCUUCAUAACUCGUCGUCUUUAUUGUUCUGAACUUCACUUUACCUGUUUAUGUGUUGUAUGAAAAAUAUGGGUUACACUUUAUAAUAACUUUCAUUAAUAUACCAUUAACCAAUGAUUAAUAACUGUUAUUUCUCAUAUUUUAAGAAAUUAAAAAGGUGCUAUCACAUUUGUAAAUACUAAUGAACACAUUGGCAACAUGAACUGCGAUUAAUAAACAUUUGCCUGGUUUAAAAUUCGUAUUAACU